Non-coding RNA from Anolis sagrei ordinatus, 357 nucleotides. The record is from RefSeq and is a predicted model, not a curated record. Lineage: Eukaryota; Metazoa; Chordata; Lepidosauria; Squamata; Anolidae.
CAAUGCCAUCUAUUUGUCAGGCUUGGGAACCACGGGACUGGAAAUCUAUGAGCAAGUGCCAAAACUGGAUGCAGUGAUACUCCCAGCAGGGGCUCAGUGUGGAUUGUUAGCAGGCUCCGCUGCUGCACUGAAACAUUUGAAUCCACGCAUUGCUGUGAUUGGUGUGGAAUCAGAGGGUUUCCCUGUAUUGCAGCAGUCCUUAAAGACUGGGCGCUCUGUUGAAGACCAGAGCCACAGUAACUGUCAGUUCUACAAAGAUGUGAGUGGACCUUGUUUUGGCACCAACUCCUUGCAGUUGACUGGAAAAUUUGUUGAUAAAGUUGUCACAGUACGGUAGGUACAGUAAAUACGUAAUUU